AGCGGCAAAAGCUCAAAUUUGAAAUCUGGUACCUUUGGUGCCCGAGUUGUAAUUUGGAGAGUACCACUUUGGGACUGUACUUUGCCUAUGUUCCUUGGAACAGGACGUCAUGGAGGGUGAGAAUCCCGUGUGGCGAGGGUGUCAGUUCUUUGUAAAGGGUGCUCGAAGAGUCGAGUUGUUUGGGAAUGCAGCUCUAAGUGGGUGGUAAAUUCCAUCUAAAGCUAAAUACAGGCGAGAGACCGAUAGCGAACAAGUACAGUGAUGGAAAGAUGAAAAGAACUUUGAAAAGAGAGUGAAAAAGUACGUGAAAUUGUUGAAAGGGAAGGGCAUUUGAUCAGACAUGGUGUUUUGCGCCCCUUGCCUCUCGUGGGCUUGGGACUCUCGCAGCUCACUGGGCCAGCAUCGGUUUUGGCGGCCGGAAAAAACCUAGGGAAUGUGGCUCUGCGCCUCGGUGUAGAGUGUUAUAGCCCUGGGGAAUACGGCCAGCCGGGACCGAGGACUGCGAUACUUGUUAUCUAGGAUGCUGGCAUAAUGGUUAUAUGCCGCCCGUCUUG
Molecule: ribosomal RNA, 554 nt
Filed under: Nakaseomyces glabratus
Lineage: Eukaryota; Fungi; Ascomycota; Saccharomycetes; Saccharomycetales; Saccharomycetaceae
Description: eukaryotic LSU rRNA
Rfam family: Eukaryotic large subunit ribosomal RNA
Source: RNAcentral